RNAcentral lists this ribosomal RNA (508 nucleotides) under Bombus modestus. Its description in RNAcentral is "partial 16S ribosomal RNA". The stretch from base 385 to 508 matches the Rfam family "Bacterial large subunit ribosomal RNA", at positions 2473 to 2597 of the family's 2925-position model. The record is from RNAcentral. Lineage: Eukaryota; Metazoa; Arthropoda; Insecta; Hymenoptera; Apidae.
GGCUUGAUGAUAUUAAUUUUAAGUCGAUCUGCCCAAUGAUAUAAAUAUUUAUUUAAUGGCUGCAGUAUAACUGACUGUACAAAGGUAGCAUAAUCGAUUGUUUUUUAAUUGGAAACUGGUAUGAAAGAAUUAAUGAGAUAUAUACUGUCUCAUAUAUAUUUAAUAAAUUUAAAUUUUUAGUGAAAAUGCUGAAAUGUAUUUAUGGGACGAUAAGACCCUAUAGAAUUUUAUAUUAAUAUAUAGAUAAGAUAAAUUUUUAUAUAUUUUUAUUUAGUUGGGAGGAUUGGUAGAUUUGAAUAACUUUAUUUUGAAUUAAAACUUUGAUUUGAGAAUAAGAUAAAUAAUGAUCUUGUAUUAUAAAUAAGAAGAGUAAAUUACCUUAGGGAUAACAGCGUAAUAUCUUUGGAAAGAUCGAAUUGAUAAAGGUGAUUGCGACCUCGAUGUUGAAUUAAGAUUAAUUUUAAAUGUAGAAGUUUAAUGAUUAAGUCUGUUCGACUUUUAAAAUCUC